RNAcentral lists this unclassified non-coding RNA (240 nucleotides) under soil metagenome. Its description in RNAcentral is "partial contains 5.8S ribosomal RNA, internal transcribed spacer 2, and large subunit ribosomal RNA". The record is from RNAcentral.
AACUGAUACUACCUGCGGGAACCUGCGGAGGGAUCAUUGCUGAAUACCACUUGAUAGGUUGUAGCUGGCUCUUUGGAGUAUGUGCACGCCUGUCUUGGACUCUAUUCAUCCACCUGUGCACUAUUUGUAGUCUUUGGAGACUGAGAUUGGGAACAGUUGACAAGUCGGUUGACAAGCCGGAAUAGAGGAUUGCUGCUGUACAAGAAGCUCUCCUUCAUCCACUGUGAACGCUCACUCCAG